UGCAGCUGGAAGAGUUGAAAUUCUUUCAUCUUUGCCCUUGCGGCGAGGAAACAGUAUUAGUGCUGCAACAAGGCGAUUAUCUAUGGCAAUCAAUAAAGCACUGCAUGCAUAUAAAAUGCAUAUGGACGUGGAUGUCUCGACUUUUGUGCAUGUCCAACCAGACCUUGUGCAACAACUGAAUGGGUUCGACUGUGGUAUCCUUGCACUAAAGUUCAUGGAGUUUUGGAACGGGGCGACCUUAACCACUUCUGUGGCAGAGGACAAGCUGAACAUGUACAGACUCCAGCUAGUUGUGGAACUAGUGCUCCAUGAACGCAACACUGUUAGAGAUAAAAUUAUGGCCUCCUGUCAUUUGUGACUUCAUGGUUGAUGAUAAGUUUUUCCUAUCUGAUGCUACUUACCAUAUAAAGCAAUACUUGAUUGUAGUUUGUCCACAAAUGACUGAAUUCAUAUCCUUGACAGUAUGGUGAUGCUGAAUGUCAGAAGUUUAUGUACAACAAUGGGCAACAACCAAGGGAAAGAAAGACGUCAUGGUGAUGCUGUUCCUAUAGCUUACGAGAGGGAGUAAUAUCAGAAUGAGUCAUAUGUUAUCCUCUUUCUUCGGAUUGUAUGAAGCAAACUUGGUUUACCAUAUGAUCAAAAUUAGGGUUGUUCAUUAAUGUGAAAUAUCGUAUAGGAAAGGGAGUAGGAAAGGAGUUUUUCAUUAUUCUGGGGCAUCUUUUGUCAAUGUUAUAGGUAGGUUGGAGGUUUCUUUGGUUUGUUGACUAUAUUACAAACAUUUUGCUGAUGUACAAUAUUUAUGUUCUAUGUUUGUGUUUUGUUUUAUACAGGAAAUCCUAAUAGAGAUAAGGCAUUUGUU
Long non-coding RNA from Vitis riparia (riverbank grape), 859 nucleotides. RefSeq lists it as uncharacterized. NCBI's taxonomy places the organism in Eukaryota, Viridiplantae, Streptophyta, Magnoliopsida, Vitales, Vitaceae. The record is from RefSeq and is a predicted model, not a curated record. The transcript is spliced from 4 exons.